AUAUGUUAGGAUUUAUUCUGUUGCUAUGACAACCCCAAAUGACGGAUUGGCAACUGGUGUGGGGGAUUUACUCAGAGAGUUUGCGUGAGGCCUCGUCAACAUUGGAGAGGAUAAAAAGCAAGAGAGAGAGGCGGUUGGGGUGGUUUUUCUCCCUUGUGAAAAGUCGUUUUAUUGGGUGGUAAUAGUUACUGGAGGACGGGUGAAUGAAGAGGAAAGUGUUGCUUUGAUGAGGGAUUCGAGGACAACAGAAGGAGAGUGAAAUACCCUGUUUGCAUUGGAGAGGAGUUAAGUAACUGAGAACUGAGUCUCGUAAUUGUACACGUUCGACACUGAAUUGGAUGUGGUUUGGAGUGUUUGGAUCACGAUCAUAAAUAUCACUGAGUGGAUUGUAUUGAUUCAUUACCGAUCUCUUACCUCUCCCUCCUUUAUAAAUGGUGAUGUGAACUCUGCCUGUGACGGUGAAGAAAAACAUCUCAGGACAUCCUCAGCGGCAUUGAAGAUCGCGCCCCCUCCCCUCGGACAGAGACCCGAACGAGAAGAGAUGCCCUGUUGAAAUAUUUACCAUCUGCCUCAGUAAAAGCCCUGUGUAAUCUGUCGACUUUGAGUCUGCUGUAUCCUUGCAACUUAUCUGUAUGAAACCCCGCACAGCCUGCUGAUGUCGAAUGUGCUGCAUCCUUGUAGCCCACCUGUGCUGAGAAAAGUGGCUGUUCCCUCUGUCACGAAUCUGAGGCUGGCACGCUCUGUCUGAAAUAUCCACUCUGUCGGUGUCAGGAGAAGCCACCUUACCGUAAGACUGUGCACCUGCCGUAUACGUACUCGACUGAUAUCAUUCACGUCAAAUUUCGCAUCUGUGAAGGAAGGAUGGAAGGUUGGAAUUACAUACUUACCGGAGGAGACUUACCAGACCUCUCUCAUGCCAAACACCUCCCCACCUUAAGGCUGUGUACCUGCCGUAUACGUACCCGACUGAUAUCAUUCACCUCGAAUUCCGCACCUGUGAAAGAAGGAAGGAAGGUUGGAAGUACUUAAUUAUCAGAGGAGACUUACCAGACUGCUGGUUUGCCAAUCGUAUCCCCACCUGUGAAAUGCCUACUUGACCACCCAUCUGUCCAUCUAUUGCGGGGCCCGCACAGAGGAAGAGGGUGGGAGAGUCCCCGGUCGCUGCACUGUUCUCCUACGAUCCCUGAGGGCAACAAAGAAGAAGAUUUUAGAUUAGGAUUUCCAAUUUGCUUUUACUUUAAAAUAAAACUUGUUAAAUUUAUUCUCUGUCUCCGACUCUUCCCUCUGAUACGCUCCUCGAGGUGGUCCUG
Molecule: long non-coding RNA, 1310 nt
Organism: Carassius auratus (goldfish)
Lineage: Eukaryota; Metazoa; Chordata; Actinopteri; Cypriniformes; Cyprinidae
Exons: 3
Source: RefSeq, a predicted model, not a curated record